AGGGACGCAGCGGAAAGGCUGGAGGAAGGUGGGGAUGACGUCAAAUCCUCAUGGCCUUAUGUCCAGGGCUACACACAUGCGACAAUGGUCGAGACAACGCGUUGCAAACCAGUAAUGGUAAGCUAAUCGCAUAAAAUCGACCUCAGUACGGAUUGAGGGUUGCAAUUCACCCUCAUGAAGCUGGAGUUGCUAGUAACCGCAGGUCAGCUAUACUGCGAUGAAUACGUUCCCGGGGCUU
RNAcentral lists this ribosomal RNA (238 nucleotides) under uncultured Caldisericum sp. RNAcentral describes it as "partial 16S ribosomal RNA". It matches the Rfam family "Bacterial small subunit ribosomal RNA", at positions 1144 to 1382 of the family's 1533-position model. The record is from RNAcentral. Lineage: Bacteria; Pseudomonadati; Caldisericota; Caldisericia; Caldisericales; Caldisericaceae.